CGGAAAUAUCAAAUUACCCUUAUGAAAUUAAAAAUUUCCAUUGUAUUAUGAGGUAUAAAUAAUUGGAUAAUAUUAUGUGCAUCAACUGUACACAAAAAGUUGUGCACGUAAAAUCCAUGUAUUGCUUACCAAUGAAAAUGUGUAAAACAUUCAAUAAUUUUAGGUCCCGCUCCCUAAUUUCUCUCUUCUUUUAUACCGUGUGCGCAACUUUUUGUGUAUAUUUGGUGUCCCUAGCAUUACUCUAAAUAUUGCCGAAAAUUCAGCCUAAAACGUAGGUGGUUUUGAUGCCAGCCAGAACUCAGCAGCACACCCAACUUGCCUGUCUAGUGUUCAAAUGCCUCCGGAUCAGUACCCUUAUAGUUUGACUAGUAAAUCAAGAGCAUAUGUCAAAGCAUGCUCCUAGAGCUGGUAGUUUGAUACAUAUUAAGUAGUAUAGUCCAUAUUACUACAUAUUAUAAAUAAGAGAGGUCACAUGUCUAUGCAACAACCGCCGUGGUCUAAGGCUUGGGAGUCCAAGCAGUGAAGCACAGUGGCAAACAUGCAAAUCUAAUAUGCUGACCUCCAAAAAGUGAAAUUCAAAAUGCAAUCUUUUUAAUAUUCCUAAUUUAAAGAAAAUAUGGGAAAAUGCAAAAAUAAAAAUAGUAAAACUUUGAUGACCAUCACCCCUACUAACAUGAAAUCAUUGCCAAAAACAGAAACGGUAAAACUUUGAUCCUCGUUUUAUAAAAAAGAAGAGUGCUGCUUGUAUAAAAUAUGCAAGUGCAAAACUCAGUAAUCACACAUUCGGAGUAGUGCGGAGAGGAUAUUAACUGGAGAUGGCUUUUCAAAAGAUAGCAGAAGUUACGCUCAAUAAAGCAUACUAAACAUAGAGCAAAUGCGUUUCAGAUAACUGGCAGUAGAGAAUCUGCAUUCGCAGCUCAGUAAGAUAGUUCAUCACAUUCUCUCAGAGACACUAAGCUUUUACCUGAUAUGAAUUGUUAUUAUCCUUGUGCAGGGGUAGCUGCAUUUUCAGAAAUGCCCUGUAACUGAAAAGAAUGAACACUGACCAAG
This 1050-nucleotide long non-coding RNA is filed under the name Panax ginseng (ginseng). RNAcentral's name for it is "long non-coding RNA (PGIN_LNC003826)". Lineage: Eukaryota; Viridiplantae; Streptophyta; Magnoliopsida; Apiales; Araliaceae. The record is from RNAcentral.